This 254-nucleotide ribosomal RNA is filed under the name uncultured bacterium. Its description in RNAcentral is "partial 16S ribosomal RNA". It matches the Rfam family "Bacterial small subunit ribosomal RNA", at positions 524 to 776 of the family's 1533-position model. The record is from RNAcentral.
UACGGGGGGAGCAAGCGUUGUUCGGAUUUACUGGGCGUAAAGGGCGCGUAGGCGGCCACCGCAAGUCGACUGUGAAAUCUCCGGGCUUAACCCGGAAAGGUCAGCCGAUACUGCAGGGCUAGAGUGCAGAAGGGGCAACUGGAAUUCUCGGUGUAGCGGUGAAAUGCGCAGAUAUCGAGAGGAACACCUGCGGCGAAGGCGGGUUGCUGGGCUGACACUGACGCUGAAGUGCGAAAGCUAGGGGAGCGAACGGG